RNAcentral lists this ribosomal RNA (379 nucleotides) under Salmonella enterica. RNAcentral describes it as "bacterial SSU rRNA". It matches the Rfam family "Bacterial small subunit ribosomal RNA", at positions 724 to 1102 of the family's 1533-position model. The record is from RNAcentral. Lineage: Bacteria; Pseudomonadati; Pseudomonadota; Gammaproteobacteria; Enterobacterales; Enterobacteriaceae. RNAcentral also lists the same sequence under 1 other name.
GCCCCCUGGACAAAGACUGACGCUCAGGUGCGAAAGCGUGGGGAGCAAACAGGAUUAGAUACCCUGGUAGUCCACGCCGUAAACGAUGUCUACUUGGAGGUUGUGCCCUUGAGGCGUGGCUUCCGGAGCUAACGCGUUAAGUAGACCGCCUGGGGAGUACGGCCGCAAGGUUAAAACUCAAAUGAAUUGACGGGGGCCCGCACAAGCGGUGGAGCAUGUGGUUUAAUUCGAUGCAACGCGAAGAACCUUACCUGGUCUUGACAUCCACAGAACUUUCCAGAGAUGGAUUGGUGCCUUCGGGAACUGUGAGACAGGUGCUGCAUGGCUGUCGUCAGCUCGUGUUGUGAAAUGUUGGGUUAAGUCCCGCAACGAGCGCAAC